GCAUCACCCCAGCUGCUUGCUUGCUUGCCAUGGCAGACAAGGAAGCAGCCUUUGACGACGCUGUGGAAGAACGUGUAAUCAACAUGGAAUACAAAACAUGGAAAAAGAACACCCCUUUUCUUUAUGAUUUGGUGAUGACCCAUGCUCUGGAGUGGCCCAGCCUAACUGCACAGUGGCUUCCAGAUGUAACCAGAACAGAAGGGAAAAAUUUCAGCAUUCAUUGACUCAUCCUGGGGACACACACAUCAGAUGAACAAAACCACCUUGUGAUAGCUAGUGUGCAGCUCCCUAAUGAUGAUGCUCAGUUUGAUGCAUCACACUAGGACAGUGAAAAAGGAGAAUUUGGAGGUUUCGGUUCUGUUAGUGGGAAAAUUGAAAUAGAAAUCAAGAUCAACCACGAAGGAGAAGUAAACCGGCCCGUUAUAUGCCCCCAAAUCCUUGCAUCAUUGCAAAAAAGACUCCAUCCAGUGAUGUUCUUGUUUUUGACUAUACAAAACAUCCUUCUAAACCAGACCCUUCUGGAGAGUGCAAUCCAGACUUACGUCUCGUGGAAAUCAGAAGGAAGGCUAUGGACUUUCUUGGAACCCAAAUCUCAGUGGGCACUUACUUAGUGCUUCAGAUGGUCAUACCAUCUGCCUGUGGGACAUCAGUGCUGUUCCAAAGGAAAGAAAGGUGGUGGAUGCAAAGACCAUCUUUACAGGGCAUACAGUAGUAGUUGAAGAUGUUUCCUGGCACCUGCUCCAUGAGUCUUUGUUUGGGUCAGUUGCUGAUGAUCAGAAACUUAUGAUUUGGGAUGCUCAUUCCAACAAUACUUCCAAACCAAGCCAUUCAGUGGAUGCUCACACUGCUGAAGUGAACUGCCUCUCUUUCAAUCCUUAUAGUGAGUUUAUUCUUGCUACAGGAUCAGCUGACAAGACCAUUGCCUUGUGGGAUCUACGAAAUCUGAAGCUUAAGUUGCAUUCCUUUGAAUCACAUAAGGAUGAAAUAUUCCAGGUUCAGUGGUCACCUAACAAUGAGACUAUUUUGGCUUCUAGUGGUACUGAUCGCAGACUGAAUGUCUGGGGCUUAAGUAAAAUUGUAGAGGAACAAUCCCCAGAAGAUGCAGAAGAUAGGCCACCAGAGUUGUUGUUUAUUCAUGGUUAUUCACUGCCAAGAUAUCUGAUUUCUCUUGGAAUCCUAAUGAACCUUGGGUGAUUUGUUCUGUAUCAGAAGACAAUAUCAUGCAAGUGUGGCAGAUGGCAGAGAACAUUUAUAAUGAUGAGGACCCUGAAGGAAGCGUGGAUCCAGAAGGACAAGGGAUAUUUAUGCAUUUCUUGUGAUUUUAGGCUCCCCUUCUUUUCUUCUCAACCUUGAGAUUGAUUUAACACUGGUUUUGAGACGCACAGACUUUUU
This is an RNA transcript of Nycticebus coucang (slow loris), 1392 nucleotides long. It is a transcript of the gene named histone-binding protein RBBP4-like, with no coding region annotated. The record is from RefSeq and is a predicted model, not a curated record. The transcript has a single exon. NCBI's taxonomy places the organism in Eukaryota, Metazoa, Chordata, Mammalia, Primates, Lorisidae.